RNAcentral lists this long non-coding RNA (1158 nucleotides) under Ursus americanus (American black bear). Its description in RNAcentral is "lncRNA (ENSUAMG00000021606.1)". Lineage: Eukaryota; Metazoa; Chordata; Mammalia; Carnivora; Ursidae. The record is from RNAcentral.
GUGUCCUCUAAACCGAGCGCUGACGAGCACCCCGAGAGCGGCAGAGUCUCCAGAGCCCCAGGCAGCAGCCACAGGAGGCCAGAGAGACAGUCGGGCAUCUCGGCCAUCUCAUACGACUACUCGGAAGAGGAGCUGAUGGCCAGCAUCGAGCAGGAGUAUUGUCGCUGAGGCCACCGGAGCAGCCCUGCAGGCCCCCGCCCCAGCCAGCCGAGGCUGCUCCUCUGCCCCCCACCCCGCCUGACCAGACUGGGGUUGCAGCCCCGCCCCUGCCCAGGCUCUGGCUGGAGCUGAGCCCCCUCCAACAUGCAGUUACUCCUGGUUCUUUCAAAAGAUCCGGCUUCAAGCUUGCUGGCAAAGGGUGGUCAGCCAGCAGACUCCCAGCUACUCCUCUCUCAGUCUCUGGGGAGGGCUUGUCUCCGGGGUUCUCCUGGAGCCUGAAAUGCUUUCCUGGCCGGAUGGCCCUCUCUGCACCAGGACUGGGGACAGCUCACCAGUGAGUGUGGCCCAGACUGGCUCCCUUGGGGCCUCUAAGGCGUCCCCCAGCACCUGACGGCACCCAGGCAGUGUGCUUUCCUGAGCUGGGGGGAGUCACCCUGGUUUUGCCCCGCAGCUGCCUGGAGAUGUUGGUUCUGUGGGUCUGGGGCGGGGCCGGAGAGUCUGAAUUUCUAACCAGCCCCCAGGUGAGACCCGAGCUCCUGGACCCCAGCCUGGCACCGGGUAGGAAGGCCUGAGUCUAAGCUUUAGACCUUAACUGACUCUUCCUUCCUGGCACUGGGGCUGCUCAGAGCCACAGCCCCCCUGCCCCCCUGGAGAUAGGCCUGCUCCCCUCCUCGGCAGGUGUGAUGGACGGAGAGCACAGGGCUGGGAGCUGGAGCCUCAGUUCUGAUCCUCGCCCUUGCACUAACGUGCCUGUGCGCCUCAGUUUCCCUCUCUAGAAAUGGAGUCCUGGAGGCUCUUCCAGGCAUUCCAGCCCCGACAGUCUGGGAUCAGGCAAUUCCAGGCUUCCUUGAUCUCUGCUGUUCUGCUAGCCCCCUGGGGCACAGAGCUGCCCCUGCAGCUUUGGGGGAGCACCCCGGCCCCAACUGGAGGAGGUCCUGAGGAACACCUGCUCUCACCAGCCCGAGGGGACCGGUUUACUCCCUUCCCACCUGGGAGAAG